Long non-coding RNA from Nematostella vectensis (starlet sea anemone), 463 nucleotides. RefSeq lists it as uncharacterized. The record is from RefSeq and is a predicted model, not a curated record. NCBI's taxonomy places the organism in Eukaryota, Metazoa, Cnidaria, Anthozoa, Actiniaria, Edwardsiidae. The transcript is spliced from 2 exons.
GAUUAUUUGGCUUGUCCGAGAUGGGCUUGGGAACUACUCAUCAACAGCGACAUACUCCAAAUCGUAAUUAGAAAUGGAGAAAGUAAGUACUUAUAUAUAAUACUAAAAUCAGUGAACGUUGGUAACCUGUUACCAGCAGGCAAAAGAGCAUACAUUAAUAAUUAACCAGGGCCGUGGAAAAUUUUCAAACAUUUUAAGGAAAUGACAAAGUAGGGGUGUGGCUUUACACCCCAAUAUUUUCUUAAAUUAGUGACCCAAACAUUUCAAAAAAUAAUUUUAACAAAUAUAUAGAGGCACGGACUAGAAUAAUAUUAUUCAAUAGCCCACAGUAAUACAUACAAUGAUUUUUAAAUUUAAUUUUAUGAAAAUAUGUCACUUGGAACAAAUAGUGCAAUAAUGCUGUCUACAAACAUAAUAUCUAAAAAAGUCUAGCAGAGAUCAGGCUUGCAGCUGGCAGACAAAG